Molecule: long non-coding RNA, 444 nt
Organism: Pseudophryne corroboree (corroboree frog)
Lineage: Eukaryota; Metazoa; Chordata; Amphibia; Anura; Myobatrachidae
Exons: 3
Source: RefSeq, a predicted model, not a curated record
AGCCAGGAAGACCGAAGCUGAGCAGCAUGGCAAGGGAGGAGGAAAAUGGGGACCCGCAGUGCCAGCAGCAGCCACCCAUGCACAGUGACUGAGGUGCUGCUGACUGUAUCACUGAUGACUGUAUUGUCCUGUGUAACCUGCAGCACCAAGCCAGCAGUGUACUGCAGACUUUUGAAGUUCACUAGAAACCCAUUAUUUACUGACUGGAUCCUACAACACAAGGAAGACAUGAAACGGCCGCCCACUCAUCAGACUGAAGAAUGUAUUUCUGCUAAACAAAAUGGAAUAGUGUCUUUCAGCUAAUUGUAUGCACUUUGUUCUAGUCUUAGAAAGACUGCCUUUGACUGCUUGACAUUUCUAAUUCCAGGAACUGGACUGUUACAAAAUGGUCUACUGAUAAUUUGAAUCAUUCUGUAUUUCAGUAAGGAUGUUUAGAUAAUAAAG